Mus musculus (house mouse) is the source of this 849-nucleotide long non-coding RNA. RefSeq annotates it as predicted gene, 46922. The transcript has 3 exons. Lineage: Eukaryota; Metazoa; Chordata; Mammalia; Rodentia; Muridae. The record is from RefSeq and is a predicted model, not a curated record.
ACGGGCUGGGCGGGCGGUGGCGGCGGCGGCCCUCGGUGCGCUCGGCCCUGCGCGGACGGUUGCGGGCUCCGCGGCCCCGGGCGGCGCAGGUGACCGGAAGCCGCGCGACAGCGGGGCUGGGCUCCGGGAUGCGGACGCGGCCCAGGUGCGCACGGCCGCGCGGGGCCCGGAGCGCCCUCUGCUCGCCGCCGCCUUUCCAGGGAAGCUCCCGGCUUCCCUCGCUGCCGAGCUGUUCGCACGGCCGCACAGUAUCUUAUUAUCUGCUCGGGUGAAAAGUUUCACGUAGGUCGCCAGACUUGUUUGCCCGCGCGGGGGCCCACUUAUAAAUAGGCUGCCACCCCCUCGUUAAACACCGGCGCCUGACAGACGGAAACUUCCCAGGCUCCUUUCCUGCGCUCCCACGCGCCGCUCUCCCAGGAGAGGGCCCGACCCGAGAAGGUGGCGUGGAAAAUUGAAUAAUGGCCCUGAUGCGCAUUCAUUCAUGCAUGGCUUCUGGGGACCCACUGUGCAGCUUUAGCAAUAAAGGAAGCCAAAGACUCCUCCCACCUGUAUCUGAAGCAGCAGGUGCAGAGAAUGCUGAUUGCUGCAGGAAGAGAUGGGAGAGGAGAUGGGCUUUUAAAGGUCAAGUUCAUUGAUCUUCUUAAAUGACUAUGUCAAGGGUAACCUUCCUGAAUGUCAGAGGGACAAUCUCUGAUACGGGACCACAUGAGGUUGGUGGCUGGUUUGUAAUUAAGGGAGUUCUCUUGACCUGCUUUGCCCACUUUUAAAACUCUUACUGUGUUUAUUUAUUUAUUUAUUGUGUGUAUGUGUGGACGUCAGAGGACAACUUCUCUCCUCUCCCCGUAUUGG